AUCCAUCGAUGACUUCAUAGCUGAAUGUACUGUUAGGAAAUGAGUCACUGGGAUGGAACUUGGAAGGCAGUAUUCUUGCUCCCUCUCCUUCCUGCUCUCUCUGCUUCCUGGCUUCCAUGGGUUGAAUGGCUUUCCUCUGCCAUGUCCCUUUGUCAUCCUAUUUCUGCCUUGGAGCCAGCCAACCAUGGACUGCAACCAUGAGCCAAAAGAAAUCUCUCAUUUAAACUAACUGUGUUCCAGGAGGCGAGAGGCCAGCUCCACCCACGACUCAGAUACCUGCACAAAGACUUCUCCCAAAAACAGCACUGAGUUCUGUGCAUCCUCCCACUGCAUUGCUCAGAAUAAUAAAAGGAUGGAGUAGAGUUUGGUGUCACUGUCUUGAUUAAUAUUAAGACUCUAGUAGCA
Molecule: long non-coding RNA, 405 nt
Organism: Heterocephalus glaber (naked mole-rat)
Lineage: Eukaryota; Metazoa; Chordata; Mammalia; Rodentia; Bathyergidae
Source: Ensembl